UUGCUGCAGUUAAAAAGCUCGUAGUUGGAUUUCGGGUGGGGCCUGCCGGUCCGCCGUUUCGGUGUGCACUGGCCGGGCCCACCUUGUUGCCGGGGACGGGCUCCUGGGCUUCGCUGUCCGGGACCCGGAGUCGGCGAGGUUACUUUGAGUAAAUUAGAGUGUUCAAAGCAGGCCUACGCUCUGAAUACAUUAGCAUGGAAUAACACGAUAGGACUCUGGCCUAUCCUGUUGGUCUGUAGGACCGGAGUAAUGAUUAAGAGGGACAGUCGGGGGCAUUCGUAUUUCAUUGUCAGANGUGAAAUUCUUGGAUUUAUGAAAGACGAACUACUGCGAAAGCAUUUGCCAAGGAUGUUUUCAUUAAUCAAGAACGAAAGUUGGGGGCUCGAAGAAAAUAGAUACCGUCCUAGUCUCCACCAUAAAC
Molecule: ribosomal RNA, 421 nt
Filed under: Picochlorum sp. RCC475
Lineage: Eukaryota; Viridiplantae; Chlorophyta; Trebouxiophyceae
Description: SSU rRNA
Rfam family: Eukaryotic small subunit ribosomal RNA
Source: RNAcentral